RNAcentral lists this ribosomal RNA (430 nucleotides) under uncultured bacterium. Its description in RNAcentral is "bacterial SSU rRNA". It matches the Rfam family "Bacterial small subunit ribosomal RNA", at positions 354 to 776 of the family's 1533-position model. The record is from RNAcentral.
GUGGGGAAUAUUGCGCAAUGGACGAAAGUCUGACGCAGCAAUACCGCGUGUGUGAAGAAGGCCUGAGGGUUGUAAAGCACUUUCAGUGGGGAGGAAAGGUUGUAUGUUAAUAGCAUAUAACUGUGACGUUACCCACAGAAGAAGCACCGGCUAACUCCGUGCCAGCAGCCGCGGUAAUACGGAGGGUGCAAGCGUUAAUCGGAAUUACUGGGCGUAAAGCGCGCGUAGGCGGAUAUUUAAGUCAGAUGUGAAAGCCCAGGGCUCAACCUUGGAACUGCAUUUGAUACUGGGUAUCUUGAGUACAGUAGAGGGAGGUGGAAUUUCAGGUGUAGCGGUGAAAUGCGUAGAUAUCUGAAGGAACAUCAGUGGCGAAGGCGGCCUCCUGGACUGAUACUGACGCUGAGGUGCGAAAGCGUGGGGAGCAAACAGG